AACGAACGCUGGCGGCAUGCCUAACACAUGCAAGUCGAACGAGACCUUCGGGUCUAGUGGCGCACGGGUGCGUAACGCGUGGGAACCUGCCCUUAGGUUUGGAAUAACUCCCCGAAAGGGGUGCUAAUACCGGCUAAUGUCUUCGGACCAAAGAUUUAUCGCCUUUGGAUGGGCCCGCGUUGGAUUAGCUAGUUGGUAGGGUAAAAGCCUACCAAGGCGACGAUCCAUAGCUGGUCUGAGAGGAUGAUCAGCCACACUGGGACUGAGACACAGCCCAGACUCCUACGGGAGGCAGCAGUGGGGAAUAUUGGACAAUGGGCGAAAGCCUGAUCCAGCAAUGCCGCGUGAGUGAUGAAGGCCUUAGGGUUGUAAAGCUCUUUUACCCGGGAUGAUAAUGACAGUACCGGGAGAAUAAGCUCCGGCUAACUCCGUG
RNAcentral lists this ribosomal RNA (433 nucleotides) under uncultured bacterium. Its description in RNAcentral is "partial 16S ribosomal RNA". It matches the Rfam family "Bacterial small subunit ribosomal RNA", at positions 29 to 507 of the family's 1533-position model. The record is from RNAcentral.